This 447-nucleotide ribosomal RNA is filed under the name uncultured bacterium. Its description in RNAcentral is "bacterial SSU rRNA". It matches the Rfam family "Bacterial small subunit ribosomal RNA", at positions 34 to 498 of the family's 1533-position model. The record is from RNAcentral.
CGCUGGCGGCGUGCUUAACACAUGCAAGUCGAGCGGUAAGGCCUUUCGGGGUACACGAGCGGCGAACGGGUGAGUAACACGUGGGUGAUCUGCCCUGCACUUCGGGAUAAGCCUGGGAAACUGGGUCUAAUACCGGAUAUGACCUCCUAUCGCAUGGUGGGUGGUGGAAAGAUUUAUCGGUGCAGGAUGGGCCCGCGGCCUAUCAGCUUGUUGGUGGGGUAAUGGCCUACCAAGGCGACGACGGGUAGCCGACCUGAGAGGGUGACCGGCCACACUGGGACUGAGACACGGCCCAGACUCCUACGGGAGGCAGCAGUGGGGAAUAUUGCACAAUGGGCGAAAGCCUGAUGCAGCGACGCCGCGUGAGGGAUGACGGCCUUCGGGUUGUAAACCUCUUUCAGCAGGGACGAAGCGCGAGUGACGGUACCUGCAGAAGAAGCACCGGCU